This 45-nucleotide ribosomal RNA is filed under the name Colletotrichum gloeosporioides. RNAcentral's name for it is "partial 18S ribosomal RNA". Lineage: Eukaryota; Fungi; Ascomycota; Sordariomycetes; Glomerellales; Glomerellaceae. The record is from RNAcentral.
GCGGAGGGAUCAUUACUGAGUUUACGCUCUAUAACCCUUUGUGAA